Molecule: unclassified non-coding RNA, 260 nt
Filed under: uncultured fungus
Lineage: Eukaryota; Fungi
Description: partial contains 5.8S rRNA and ITS2
Source: RNAcentral
AACGCACAUUGCGCCCCCUGGCAUUCCGGGGGGCAUGCCUGUCCGAGCGUCAUUUCUGCCCUCAAGCACGGCUUGUGUGUUGGGUGUGGUCCCCUCCCUGGCGGGGGGACCUGCCCGAAAGGCAGCGGCGACGUCGCGUCCGGUCCUCGAGCGUAUGGGGCUUUGUCACUCGCUCGGGAAGGACCUGCGCACGUCUGUCACAACUGUAUUUUUUACCACGGUUGACCUCGGAUCAGGUAGGAGUUACCCGCUGAACUUAA